AACGAACGCUGGCGGCAUGCCUAACACAUGCAAGUCGAACGAGAUCUUCGGGUCUAGUGGCGCACGGGUGCGUAACGCGUGGGAAUCUGCCCUUUGGUUCGGAAUAACAGUUGGAAACGACUGCUAAUACCGGAUGAUGACGAAAGUCCAAAGAUUUAUCGCCAGAGGAUGAGCCCGCGUAGGAUUAGCCAGUUGGUGUGGUAAAGGCGCACCAAGGCGACGAUCCUUAGCUGGUCUGAGAGGAUGAUCAGCCACACUGGGACUGAGACACGGCCCAGACUCCUACGGGAGGCAGCAGUGGGGAAUAUUGGACAAUGGGCGAAAGCCUGAUCCAGCAAUGCCGCGUGAGUGAUGAAGGCCUUAGGGUUGUAAAGCUCUUUUACCCGGGAUGAUAAUGACAGUACCGGGAGAAUAAGCUCCGGCUAACUCCGUGCCAGCCGCCGCCGCGG
This 449-nucleotide ribosomal RNA is filed under the name uncultured bacterium. RNAcentral describes it as "partial 16S ribosomal RNA". It matches the Rfam family "Bacterial small subunit ribosomal RNA", at positions 29 to 523 of the family's 1533-position model. The record is from RNAcentral.